This 183-nucleotide unclassified non-coding RNA is filed under the name uncultured Cantharellales. RNAcentral's name for it is "sequence contains ITS1". Lineage: Eukaryota; Fungi; Basidiomycota; Agaricomycetes; Cantharellales. The record is from RNAcentral.
ACGAAUUUAUUGAGAGUUGAUGCUGGUUGCAAGACAUGUGCUCGCUCUCUUAAAAUCCAUAUACACCUGUGCACCUUUUUCUCCUUUGUGCUGUUGAGUCUCUGACUCUAGUGAAAAGGAGGAAAAAAUAUACAAACUCUUAUAUUAAUCUUGAAUGUUAUCGCCGCAAGGCAAAAUUUAAUA